RNAcentral lists this unclassified non-coding RNA (329 nucleotides) under soil metagenome. Its description in RNAcentral is "partial contains 5.8S ribosomal RNA, internal transcribed spacer 2, and large subunit ribosomal RNA". The stretch from base 1 to 120 matches the Rfam family "5.8S ribosomal RNA", at positions 35 to 154 of the family's 154-position model. The record is from RNAcentral.
GAUGAAGAACGCAGCGAAAUGCGAUAAGUAAUGUGAAUUGCAGAAUUCAGUGAAUCAUCGAAUCUUUGAACGCACAUUGCGCCCCCUGGUAUUCCGGGGGGCAUGCCUGUUCGAGCGUCAUUACAACCCUCAAGCUCUGCUUGGUAUUGGGCCCCGCCAGUUCUGGCGGGCCCUAAAGUCAGUGGCGGUGCCUUCCGGCUCCGAGCGUAGUAAUUCUUCUCGCUCUGGAGACCCGGUUGUGUGCUUGCCAACAACCCCAAAUUUUUUAAGGUUGACCUCGGAUCAGGUAGGGAUACCCGCUGAACUUAAGCAUAUCAAUAAGCGGAGGA